This 246-nucleotide ribosomal RNA is filed under the name uncultured bacterium. RNAcentral's name for it is "partial 16S ribosomal RNA". It matches the Rfam family "Bacterial small subunit ribosomal RNA", at positions 527 to 773 of the family's 1533-position model. The record is from RNAcentral.
GGAGGAUGCGAGCGUUAUCCGGAUUUAUUGGGUUUAAAGGGUGCGUAGGCGGUAUGGUAAGUCAGCGGUAAAAGCCCGGGGCUCAACCCCGGCGAGCCGUUGAAACUGCCGUGCUAGAGAGGAAGAGAAGUGGGCGGAAUGCGCAGUGUAGCGGUGAAAUGCUUAGAUAUUGCGCAGAACUCCGAUUGCGAAGGCAGCCUACCGGCUUCUGUCUGACGCUGAGGCACGAAAGCGUGGGUAUCGAAC